AGAGGGGGCAAGCGUUGUUCGGAAUUACUGGGCGUAAAGGGCGCGUAGGCGGCCUUCUAAGUCGAACGUGAAAUCCCUGGGCUUAACCCAGGAACUGCGUCCGAGACUGGAAGGCUCGAAUCUGGGAGAGGGAUGUGGAAUUCCAGGUGUAGCGGUGAAAUGCGUAGAUAUCUGGAGGAACAUCGGUGGCGAAGGCGGCAUCCUGGACCGGUAUUGACGCUGAGGCGCGAAAGCUAGGGUAGCAAACGGGAUUAGAUACCCCGGUAGUCCUAGCCGUAAACGAUGGGCACUAGGUGUUGGAGGUAUCGACCCCUCCAGUGCCGCAGCUAACGCAUUAAGUGCCCCGCCUGGGGAGUACGGUCGCAAGACUA
RNAcentral lists this ribosomal RNA (371 nucleotides) under uncultured bacterium. RNAcentral describes it as "bacterial SSU rRNA". It matches the Rfam family "Bacterial small subunit ribosomal RNA", at positions 527 to 896 of the family's 1533-position model. The record is from RNAcentral.